AAUUGAACGCUGGCGGCAGGCCUAACACAUGCAAGUCGAGCGGUAGCACAGAGAGCUUGCUCUCGGGUGACGAGCGGCGGACGGGUGAGUAAUGUCUGGGAAACUGCCUGAUGGAGGGGGAUAACUACUGGAAACGGUAGCUAAUACCGCAUAACGUCGCAAGACCAAAGUGGGGGACCUUCGGGCCUCAUGCCAUCAGAUGUGCCCAGAUGGGAUUAGCUGGUAGGUGGGGUAACGGCUCACCUAGGCGACGAUCCCUAGCUGGUCUGAGAGGAUGACCAGCCACACUGGAACUGAGACACGGUCCAGACUCCUACGGGAGGCAGCAGUGGGGAAUAUUGCACAAUGGGCGCAAGCCUGAUGCAGCCAUGCUGCGUGUGUGAAGAAGGCCUUCGGGUUGUAAAGCACUUUCAGCGGGGAGGAAGGCGGUGAGGUUAAUAACCUCAUCGAUUGACGUUACCCGCAGAAGAAGCACCGGCUAACUCCGUGCCAGCAGCCGCGGUAAUACGGAGGGUGCAAGCGUUAAUCGGAAUUACUGGGCGUAAAGCGCACGCAGGCGGUCUGUCAAGUCGGAUGUGAAAUCCCCGGGCUCAACCUGGGAACUGCAUUCGAAACUGGCAGGCUAGAGUCUUGUAGAGGGGGGUAGAAUUCCAGGUGUAGCGGUGAAAUGCGUAGAGAUCUGGAGGAAUACCGGUGGCGAAGGCGGCCCCCUGGACAAAGACUGACGCUCAGGUGCGAAAGCGUGGGGAGCAAACAGGAUUAGAUACCCUGGUAGUCCACGCUGUAAACGAUGUCGAUUUUGGGAGGUUGUGCCCUUGAGGCGUGGCUUCCGGAGCUAACGCGUUAAAUCGACCGCCUGGGGAGUACGGCCGCAAGGUUAAAACUCAAAUGAAUUGACGGGGGCCCGCACAAGCGGUGGAGCAUGUGGUUUAAUUCGAUGCAACGCGAAGAACCUUACCUGGUCUUGACAUCCACAGAACUUAGCAGAGAUGCUUUGGUGCCUUCGGGAACUGUGAGACUGGUGCUGCAUGGCUGUCGUCAGCUCGUGUUGUGAAAUGUUGGGUUAAGUCCCGCAACGAGCGCAACCCUUAUCCUUUGUUGCCAGCGGUUAGGCCGGGAACUCAAAGGAGACUGCCAGUGAUAAACUGGAGGAAGGUGGGGAUGACGUCAAGUCAUCAUGGCCCUUACGACCAGGGCUACACACGUGCUACAAUGGCAUAUACAAAGAGAAGCGACCUCGCGAGAGCAAGCGGACCUCAUAAAGUAUGUCGUAGUCCGGAUUGGAGUCUGCAACUCGACUCCAUGAAGUCGGAAUCGCUAGUAAUCGUAGAUCAGAAUGCUACGGUGAAUACGUUCCCGGGCCUUGUACACACCGCCCGUCACACCAUGGGAGUGGGUUGCAAAAGAAGUAGGUAGCUUAACCUUCGGGAGGGCGCUUACCACUUUGUGAUUCAUGACUGGGGUG
Molecule: ribosomal RNA, 1465 nt
Filed under: Klebsiella quasivariicola
Lineage: Bacteria; Pseudomonadati; Pseudomonadota; Gammaproteobacteria; Enterobacterales; Enterobacteriaceae
Description: bacterial SSU rRNA
Rfam family: Bacterial small subunit ribosomal RNA
Source: RNAcentral